Molecule: unclassified non-coding RNA, 250 nt
Filed under: plant metagenome
Description: partial contains small subunit ribosomal RNA, internal transcribed spacer 1, and 5.8S ribosomal RNA
Source: RNAcentral
GUAGGUGAACCUGCGGAAGGAUCAUUACCGCGGAGCGGACGGGCGCCAGCGCCCGCGCUUUCACGCCCCUUGCUCACCGACCCCGUUGCUUCGGCGGGCCUGCGGGCUACCCGCCCGCCGCCGGCCCUAGGCCGGCGAGAGCCCGUCCGGGGACCUUGCAAACGCCCUAUCCCGCAGUCGGAGUCGGACCGCGAGCCAACGUACAGCAAAACUUUCAACAACGGAUCUCUUGGUUCCGGCAUCGAUGAAG